CAAAAUCUCUCUUUUUUUGGAUUUUUGAGUUAUAACUCAGUUUUUCAAAUACAAAAUUAGAAGUACAAUAACAAAAGACUCAACAAACUUAACUAGCCUAUGACAGACUCUAAUAUCACCUAAAAGACUCGACAUUAUUGUACAAAACUAGAAGGUAAAAGACGACAUAAAAAAACAGACUCGAAACAUAAAAAAAUCUCUCCUGGAUGCAGCGGUCCUGACUGGAUGGUCCCGGGGUGUCUGUCAUGCUCCAACUCCGGUAAGUAGAUCCACACCUGUAUGAAAAAAUUAAGACCAAAUAAAGUUAAAGACCUAGAACACUAUGUGAGACAAUAACACUCCCUAUUGGACGCAUGCAAGACAUGAUUGAGGCUAUUUUUUGCAAAAUACUUUAUGUGGCCAAAAAGUGGCUAGAAGUGCAAAUUUUGGCUAAGACCUCGCAAAGCCAAGAACCUAAGAUUCACUAGGAAGACCGGACCCUAUGUGGGUUGCCUACGUAUCACGCCCUGAAAGAUGAGAAUCAGGUAUGCGUAGUUCGGGAAGAUUGGAUACAGGCGAGAAUUAAAAAAAACUAAUUUAGAGAAAAUAUUUUUUUUCUUUUUUUUUGGAAAAUGAUGGGAAAGUGCAAAAUCUUUUUGGAUUUUUCAUAUUUGUUUUUUUUGUCUUUUUCUUAAAAAAAAGUAAAAGAAAAACAUAACUGGGCCCUACUUGCUUUAAUUUUACACUUCAACAUCUUUUUCUCAUUUACCGUCAAACCUCAUUGGUCCACCAAAUGACCCCUUUUACCCUUGAAGAUUGCAACAUGCAGCACAUUAAAAUGCAUCAGGAUGGUCUUUUAUUUUUGGGGGUACACUUGUCGUAGAUGGACCCAACCCCUAUGUUGAGUCCCCUAAAUCAAAUGCACGUGAUGCAAACAAACGUUCCUACUAGGGAUCUGGCAUGGGGCUAUGUUAUUCUAGGUUUACAACAUGGGUGUAUUGUUCUAGACCUAGCUUACCCGAGCGGACAUCUCGAGCCGGGGGGGAGGUGGACAGCAUAAAGGGAAUACAGAAGCUUCACCGGCUUUGCUACUUGUCCGAACCUCGUUCUAAAAUUGGGAUAUGACUCUAACAGAAAAAAAAGUCACACGAAGUGCACACUUCCUAAAUGAUUUUGAAGACUCAGAGAGAAGAGGGUUUCGUAACAAUUUAUAUACAGUUCNNNNNNNNNNNNNNNNNNNNNNNNNAGCAGAGUCGUCAGAGCUGUCACACCUCCUUUUUCUACCCUGAAAGGACAUAUGGGAGUUUUUCCAAUUAAAGUGACAAUAAUCGAAACAAGAUUAUUUAUAUAUAUUCAGAGUCGCCACUUGGGAUAAUCGAUGGUGUCCCAAGUCACCGGUUUAAAAUUCCGAAUCGAGGAAGUUUGACACUGUUUACAAUCUGCGAACACAGAAAUCCGGGUAAGGAAUUCUGUUAACCCGGAAGAAGGUGUUAGGCAUUCUCGGGUUUCGUAAUUUUAGCACGGUCGCUCAACUAUUACUAUUGGCCUAAUUAUCUGAUUGAUUACACAUUUUAAACCUACGUGCAUUUUUAGACUUUGUAACCGCUUUUAGUAUUUUUUAGGAAAUUCAUGAUUGUCAUACACUUGUUUGUUUUUGAAAAAUACAUCGUAAACCACGCUACAUGAAAUGCACCCGCGGUUCACGACAUAUUUAUUUAUUUAUUUAACAUUAUUGGAAAUUAAGUUCGGGUCACAUGAAAUGCACACCCGAAUAGGAUUUACGACAUGUUUAUUUUAUUAUUAAUAUUCAAAGCUAUGGUUGGGUCGCAUGAAAUGCACACCCGAAUUUGAAUUUAUGUAUCAUGUCUAUGCCACGAGAACCGCACACAUAUUCACGAUGAUUUAUUAUUAAUCGUGCCUAAAGCAAGCUAUGAUAUUCUAUUGAUUCAUUUUUUCUAAGUUCGGGGAUUUUGUGAAACUACGAAUUAAAGUUAAUUGUGUAUCAAAUGUAUCACUUAUUAUAUAUUAUUACAAUUAAAACUGAAGGUAUCAAAUUAUAAAAAAAAUAGCUAUGGUUGUGUUCAUGUAAAAAAAUAAUCAACUUACUACUGGAAGAAACCUUUCAAUAUCUAUUACUCCAUCCAUGAUCAUAAUUGCUCAACUUUCUGAAUUUAGUUCAGUAUAAUAACAACAAAGUUUUUGCCAAACAACUAAAUAACCAUAUAUUACAUUCUCAGCGCACCCCCUUUAUACCUAUCAUGCGACAAAAUUAACAGCUAAAAUAAACUAUACCUAAAGUAUUUCAAACAAUAGAUCAAGAAAGAAAAGCUAUGAGAAACAGCUAAAACAUUAGCUUGCCUAAUUUCUUCUCCCAUGCCUAUUUAUUCACAUCGCAGGUAUCUACUGCCCCUCUUCAACUUACGUCCAACAAGUAUUCAUAAGAAAAGAUUGGAAAAUUGUCUUGUUAAAAGCUCAAUCAAAGAUCCAAGUCAAAUGGAUUUUAAAAGAAAAAACAAAAACAAAAAAGCAACGAUUGCGCAAAUAAAGUAGACCAGCACAUGAGAAUACAUUUGACUUGGAUUAUUUUCCAGGUAUUCAUGUAUUAAGAAGAGCAAAGAUAUUAAUUUCUGCAAAUCAUAUUUACAUCUUGUGCUCUCUAAAUUCAUAUUAAACACAAAGGCACAACAAGUAUAUAAAUAGAUAAAUAAAUAAACACAACCAUCUGUUAUGAUUCACAAUAAGAACCAAUCAAAAAAGAUACUUGUUCACAGCAUCAUUGCAAUUCUGCCCUUCCAAUAACGAAAUCGUAUUCACACCCGCAUCCCGACCCGGAAGCAUCAACAGCUCGCCACCUCGGACGGACUCAAAUCGACACGAUUUUGGAUGAUGAUUUUGGGCUGAUUUUGCUGAGUUUCAACUAGAAAACAGGGCUGCUUUUUGCUGGGAUUUAGGGCUAAUUUUGGGACUGUUUGGUACCUUUUCGCUGCUGUUUUUUGGUUGAGUUUUGACUUAUUUUUGGCCAAAUUUUUGACUAGUCUUGGAGCUUCUCACUGUUGGCUUUUGGUGCAAAAGGGGUGGUGUUUUGGGUGGGACGAAUUUCUACGGAAUCAUGGUGAAGCUCGGCGACUGACUUCUAGGGCUGGGGUGUUUGGGGAAGACGGCUAUGUAUUUUUUGUUAAGGGGCUUGUGAUCUUUUUGUUAAGAAGAAGUUGGAUUGGGGUUGGAGAGGAUAGAGUGCAGGGAAUGGCUCAGGGGUCUAUUGUGUAUUGCGACUGCUAUCUCUUUUUUGUUCUCUAGUUAAGAA
This 3283-nucleotide long non-coding RNA is filed under the name Nicotiana tabacum (common tobacco). RNAcentral describes it as "long non-coding RNA (NTAB_LNC014683)". The record is from RNAcentral. Lineage: Eukaryota; Viridiplantae; Streptophyta; Magnoliopsida; Solanales; Solanaceae.